Molecule: microRNA precursor, 92 nt
Organism: Naja naja (Indian cobra)
Lineage: Eukaryota; Metazoa; Chordata; Lepidosauria; Squamata; Elapidae
Gene: MIR365A
Product: microRNA 365a
Source: Ensembl
UUUGCGCAGGGAAAAUGAGGGACUUUUGGGGGCAGCUGUGUUUUUCCAUGCUACCAUAAUGCCCCUAAAAAUCCUUAUUGCUCUUGCCGUAU